This 204-nucleotide unclassified non-coding RNA is filed under the name fungal sp. Its description in RNAcentral is "partial internal transcribed spacer region". The stretch from base 1 to 46 matches the Rfam family "Eukaryotic small subunit ribosomal RNA", at positions 1786 to 1831 of the family's 1831-position model. The record is from RNAcentral. Lineage: Eukaryota; Fungi.
AAGUCGUAACAAGGUUUCCGUAGGUGAACCUGCGGAAGGAUCAUUAUUGGGGAGGUCAAGGAUGACCCUGGGUGAUGUGCUGUGUAUGUUGACUGUGAUCUAUGUGACAUGCGAUCACGUGUCAUUUUUCAUUCAUUUUCCAUUUGUUCUAAUCCAUAUUAUCACAACACAACAAAACUGGCAGCAAUGGAUCCCUCGGUUCUC